GAUGAACGCUGGCGGCGUGCCUAAUACACGCAAGUCGAGCGGACAUUCCGGAGUGCUUGCACUCUGGAGGUUUCGCCGCGGGGGGGAGAGUAACACGUAGACAACCCGCCCAUAAGACCGGGAUCACAGUCGGAAACGAACGCUAAUACCGGAUAAACGGACUUCUCGCAGUAGGAGAGCGAGAAAGGGUGAUCCAGCUACCGCUAAUGGAUGGGCCCGCGGCGCAUUAGCUAGUUGGUGGGGUAACGGCCUACCAAGGCGACGAUGCGUAGCCGACCUGAGAGGGUGAUCGGCCACACUGGAACUGAGACACGGUCCAGACUCCUACGGGAGGCAGCAGUAGGGAAUCUUCCGCAAUGGACGCAAGUCUGACGGAGCAACGCCGCGUGAGUGAGGAAGGCCUUCGGGUCGUAAAGCUCUGUUGCCAGGGAAGAACGGGCAGGUGAGUAACUACCCUUGCCAUGACGGUACCUGAGAAGAAAGCCCCGGCUAACUACGUG
Molecule: ribosomal RNA, 500 nt
Filed under: uncultured bacterium
Lineage: Bacteria
Description: partial 16S ribosomal RNA
Rfam family: Bacterial small subunit ribosomal RNA
Source: RNAcentral